CGGUCUCCGUGUCGCAGCUAACGCAUUAAGUUCCCCGCCUGGGGAGUACGGCCGCAAGGCUAAAACUCAAAGGAAUUGACGGGGGCCCGCACAAGCGGCGGAGCAUGCGGAUUAAUUCGAUGCAACGCGAAGAACCUUACCAAGGCUUGACAUAUACCGGAAACUUCCAGAAAUGGUUGCCCCGCAAGGUCGGUAUACAGGUGGUGCAUGGUUGUCGUCAGCUCGUGUCGUGAGAUGUUGGGUUAAGUCCCGCAACGAGCGCAACCCUCGUUCUAUGUUGCCAGCACGUCAUGGUGGGAACUCAUAGGAGACUGCCGGGGUCAACUCGGAGGAAGGUGGGGAUGACGUCAAAUCAUCAUGCCCCUUAUGUCUUGGGCUUCACGCAUGCUACAAUGGCCGGUACAAAGGGCUGCGAUACCGUAAGGUGGAGCGAAUCCCAAAAAGCCGGUCUCAGUUCGGAUUGAGGUCUGCAACUCGACCUCAUGAAGUCGGAGUCGCUAGUAAUCGCAGAUCAGCAACGCUGCGGUGAAUACGUUCCCGGGCCUUGUACACACCGCCCGUCAAGUCAUGAAAGUCGGUAACACCCGAAGCCAGUGGCCUAACCGCAAGGAGGGAGCUGUCGAAGGUGGGAUCGGUGAUUAGGACUAAGUCG
This 652-nucleotide ribosomal RNA is filed under the name Rathayibacter sp. EKM201Y. Its description in RNAcentral is "bacterial SSU rRNA". It matches the Rfam family "Bacterial small subunit ribosomal RNA", at positions 835 to 1488 of the family's 1533-position model. The record is from RNAcentral. Lineage: Bacteria; Bacillati; Actinomycetota; Actinomycetes; Micrococcales; Microbacteriaceae.